UACGAAGGGGGCUAGCGUUGCUCGGAAUCACUGGGCGUAAAGGGCGCGUAGGCGGCUUUGUAAGUCGGGGGUGAAAGCCUGUGGCUCAACCACAGAAUUGCCUUCGAUACUGCAUGGCUUGAGACCGGAAGAGGUUAGUGGAACUGCGAGUGUAGAGGUGAAAUUCGUAGAUAUUCGCAAGAACACCAGUGGCGAAGGCGGCUGACUGGUCCGGUUCUGACGCUGAGGCGCGAAAGCGUGGGGAGCAAACAGG
RNAcentral lists this ribosomal RNA (253 nucleotides) under uncultured bacterium. RNAcentral's name for it is "partial 16S ribosomal RNA". It matches the Rfam family "Bacterial small subunit ribosomal RNA", at positions 524 to 776 of the family's 1533-position model. The record is from RNAcentral.